This 220-nucleotide ribosomal RNA is filed under the name uncultured bacterium. RNAcentral's name for it is "partial 16S ribosomal RNA". It matches the Rfam family "Bacterial small subunit ribosomal RNA", at positions 326 to 539 of the family's 1533-position model. The record is from RNAcentral.
ACGCUCGACACCUACAGGCAGCAGUAGGGAAUCUUCCACAAUGGACGCAAGUCUGAUGGAGCAACGCCGCGUGAGUGAAGAAGGUUUUCGGAUCGUAAAGCUCUGUUGUUGGUGAAGAAGGAUAGAGGUAGUAACUGGCCUUUAUUUGACGGUAAUCAACCAGAAAGUCACGGCUAACUACGUGCCAGCAGCCUCGGUAAUCUGAGCGGGCUGGCAAGGC